Anguilla anguilla (European eel) is the source of this 1013-nucleotide long non-coding RNA. RefSeq lists it as uncharacterized. The transcript has 4 exons. The record is from RefSeq and is a predicted model, not a curated record. Lineage: Eukaryota; Metazoa; Chordata; Actinopteri; Anguilliformes; Anguillidae.
CUGGUGGCUAUCUAACUUUACUUGGACUAGACCACUAUGUUUAGCUGCCGCAACAAGACCAAUCUUUUGAAAGCGUUCCGAGACCUCUCAACAGAAGAAAGAUUGAAGUGUUUAUCGGAAACGCCGGAGAGCUUAGUGAGUUUUGUGAAACUCUACUUGGACUGAUGGCCGUCACACGCAUCAGUAAGCUCUCGUCAGAGCAGGAGCAUGGCCGACAAACGCGUGCCGGGAUGUCGGACUGACCGUGAUGCACAGGUACGUGGAUAUACCUGGCGAUGGUAUUGCGGUAUAGGGGAGUGGACUGUGACCCCAGUGUUAUAGACACGAUUCCCUGGAGGGCCCAACCUUCAUACCCCUGGACCAGCCAUUGCCCGUAUUGGCCCGGGAGCUGUUACAGAUGAAAGCCUGUCUUUGUGUUGAGCGAAGCACUCGCUAAGCACUGCUGUUUAAGAGACCGAGGGGUUUUACGGUGAUGGCUGAAUCCUGGAGCCAGCCAUGUGAUAGACGGUUCCGCAGAUACCUGGAUAAAUGCAUCAGAAGAUCUGCAGGUGGCGUUAAAAUGGUGACAAGUCAUUCCAGCGUCCAGCUACUCGGCAGAGCUGUGUGAUCUGUGCUGUGGGGCUGCCCGGAUUGUUCCGUUAAGAAAAAAAUGCAAGAAAGCGCUUGGAAAAAUCACACCUUGGAAAAAUGGAGAUAAGCUCCAGUGUGUUGCAGCGACCUUAAAAUGGGCAAACUGAAAUCUUACUGGGGAAACCUGAACAGUCUCAGCAAGGGACCAAAGCAAAAAAUAGCCAGAAAUGUCUGGCAAUAGUGUUCACACAUUUGAUAGGUAGGGUUUCAGAACGCUUUCUGAUCAGUAGGGGAAACUAUAAAUAAUAGGAAAGUAAUAAGUGAUAAAUUAUGAUAUUGUUGUAAUAGACAACGAAUGAGAUGAAACACAUUGUAUUCAUGAUAAUUAUUCAUAUUAAAUGUAUACAAGACAUUUUUGCUGAAAAACCUGUUUAACUGAUAAU